UAAUAACCAGUUUCAUUCAAUACUUAUGUAAUCGGCAAGAUAUAAAUAUGAAGCUCGUAAUGUGCAAACUGCACAGUUUGUUCAAGUGCUGCAACUCGACAAUUGAAUUUGUGAAAUAAGAAAAAAAGGUUAUAGAAAUUAGAAAACUCAGAAAAAUUUCUAAAGUAAAGAAACGAAAGAAAAAUUUCCAAAAAAUUAUUCAAAAAUGAAAAUUCUACUGAUAAUUGUGAUAUUAACAACCACAGUGAUUUUGCCUAACGCUUGUCAAGAUAACGUAAACGAAACGUUGCCUUCUGUGGUGCAAUAUAGUAUCAUAGUGGUUCCGGAGAGACCUUGUCCAGAAGGUCAACGAAAAAAUCACCAUGGAAAAUGUCGCCAAAUUGUUUAAGUUGCAAAGACGUGCAAAGUCAACUCCAAUGCCAUUAAAGUUAGCAAAGACGAGCACAGAUCGGAAAAGCAGAAAGAAAGCAAAGCAUCCUAAAAGAGAGCAUCUAGUUGAAUCAAAUAAAUAAAAUUCUUUUACGGUG
This is a non-coding RNA of Linepithema humile (Argentine ant), 527 nucleotides long. The record is from RefSeq and is a predicted model, not a curated record. Lineage: Eukaryota; Metazoa; Arthropoda; Insecta; Hymenoptera; Formicidae.